This 235-nucleotide unclassified non-coding RNA is filed under the name Hevea brasiliensis (rubber tree). Lineage: Eukaryota; Viridiplantae; Streptophyta; Magnoliopsida; Malpighiales; Euphorbiaceae. The record is from RNAcentral.
UGCCAACAAUGUCAGGUGAGGCAGGAGUCUCUCAAACAAAUGUCUAUAAGAAAGCUUCCUUUGGUUUCUUGUUUCCACAUCAAAAGAUUUGAGCAUUCUUCGAUUAGGAAAAUGUCAAGGAAAGUUGAUCGUUAUUUGCAAUUCCCUUUUUCAUUGGACAUGACACCUUAUCUUUCUUCUUCCAUCUUGAGAAAUCGAUUUGGCAAUAGGAUUUUCCCAUUCGAUGGAGACGAAC